Molecule: ribosomal RNA, 97 nt
Filed under: uncultured bacterium
Lineage: Bacteria
Description: partial 16S ribosomal RNA
Source: RNAcentral
CGGAUCGUAAAACCCUGUCGUCAGGGACGAAGGUUGCAUGCCUAACAGGUGUGUAACUUGACGGUACCUGGAGAGGAAGCCCCGGCUAACUCUGUGC